GGAGGAGGAGGAGGACGGAAACAAACAAGGGAUGGUGCUUCGGAUGCUUGCCUCGCCGGCUCGCCCCAAGACGGGGAGAGAGAGAAUCCGUCCGUCCCCCACGCGCGGAUUUUUUCAGUGGAUUCCUCCCGGGUUCCGAGACGCCACCGCGACCGCCUCGAGGUCUCUCGCUCCCCCCCGUGGAGAAGAGAGAGUGAGGAAGGGGGGUUUUGAAUUUUGAAAUCGGAGAUGGGGAAGAAAAAGGUGAGUAGCCGUAGCAUAGCUCCACUCCAGCACGCUGUCGCUAGCUGGGGGCAGAGGCAGAGCAGUGGAGCUUACUGACGUGUGGGGUCCUCCGUGUCCGGUGGUCGGCUUCGGCAUUUUGCCUGAUUUUUCGCUCCUGUGUCCGUCCACCUGUCCAUGUCCACGGUGUCACGCUCGGGAGCAACCACAAUGCUCGGAGCUUCACGACACGACACGGUAAGGAAAAAGUCCACACACGUUUCUCAACUUUUACGAAAAUCUAUUUUUCUUUUAAACUUUAAAACUGAUUAAAAUACCUCUCUUAAUUUUUAAAGUCAUUCAUCUUAUCAUCCUACCCUGGUUAAAAAGGUUUCGAAUGCGACUUUAUUUUUUUAUUUUUCAUUUAUUUUAACUGAAUCUUUAAUAAAAUCAUAGUAAAACAUAGAAAAUUAUAAAAUAAAAAUCUAUUUUUCUUAGACUUUACAUGAGUAGAUCUACAUAAUGAAUAUACAAUAUAAUAUGAUUUGAUAUAAAAUUUUGUUGUAGCUUUAGAUCUAUUCUUUUCUGUAAUUAAAAGGAAUAAUUCAUAGGUGUAGAUUCUAUUGUUCAAUUGUGGUGAAGUUUUUAUGGUAUGCUAAUUAUUGUAUACUUAAGCUGUACUAAAAUUCUAUACUCAUUAGAUUAUGUAUAACUUAGUUAUAGAUUUUAUUUAUAUUUAUACUUGUUAAAUAUAAAUAAAUCUAUAAAUAAACUAUACAUGAUUCAAUGAGUAUGAAUUUUUAACCAUAAUUCAGCCAUACAAUAGCUAGCCCACCCUAAAACUUUUCAUCGCAAUUGGAUCAUAGAAACUGCAGCUAUGAAUUAAUUACAGAAAAGUAUAGAUAUAAAGACACAACAAAAACUAUACUAAAACAUAUUAUAUUAUAUGUUUACUGUGUAGAUCUACUCACGUGGAUUCCCAUAAAAUUAGAUUUUUUUUUAUGAUUUUUUCUAUGAUUUACUAUAAUUUUUCAAAAAUUUAGUCAAAAUAAAUAAAUAAAAAAGAUAAAACCACCUUCAAAACUGAUUAUAACAAAGACCAACUGACCAAGGAGGCAAGAUGAACAGUUUUAAAAGUUGAGAGAUGUGUUUUGUCCAGUUUUAGAGUUUCGAAGAGGAAAAAGCAAACUUUUGUGAAAGUUGAAGGAGGUAAUAUAGACUUUUUUCCAACUUAAAAGACUAGGUGGAUAUCUUAAAAGGAUUCGAACUAGUUUAGAAUAUGUGAAAAAUAGAAACUUUUUGCUUUGUGGGCAACCAUGGUGAAGUCUUGCUUGAUAUUCGCCUCUUGCACAAUCAACAGACUAGUUAGGGCACUCACAAUGCAGACUCUAUCAUAGAGUCUAAAGUUAUUUAUUACCUCGAAUAAUGUGGACUUAGAGUCUAAAUAAGACUUGGAGUCUUAUUUUUUCUACCUUUUUCUCCAAUAAAUAUGCUGCCACAUCAGCAAAAUACCAUAAACAAUAUAUAAUUAAUUGUCUUGGACUCUGUGAUAGAGUCUUGCAUCGUGAGUGCCCUUAGACGCUACAAUGGAUGGUUCCAUUACUUACCUAUUUGGAUUUGACGCUCGCACUACCCAUUAAACUAGGCACUAGUGCUGACAAGGGGGUGGCGCCAUAGAUAGGGGUGGCAAUGAAGCGGAUGAAGGCCUUGUUAUCCAAAACUUUAUAAGAUUCUCCAUCACAUCGAAUCUUACACACAUGCAUGAAACAUUAAAUAUAGAUAAAAAAGAUAACUAAUUGCACAGUUUACCUGCAAAUCACGAGACGAAUCUUUUAAGCCUAGUUACUCCAUGAUUGAAUAAUGCUUGUCAAAUAAAAACAAAAGUGCUACAGUGUCAAAAUCCAAAAAAAUUUUGGAUCUAAACAAGGCCGACGUAUCCAUCGAUCUUAACCCGAACUCAAACUUAAAACUUGAAAUCGCCCAAACACCAAUUCGGAUGAAAAUCCAUCCAUCAUCAAAAUUAGCAGAUCCACAAAACCCACCACAAUAAGGAAUUGUUUGGCAACACAUGUAUGAUAUAUAUUACAUAUAUUCACAUGUAUAAAUAAGAGGCAACAAACAACAUACAAUUCUACGACUCAACUUAGAACAAACUUUGUAGCUUACGGACACAAUUUAUUAAUACAAGACAUGAGUUCUGAUUUAGAGUGGUGUAUUUGGGGUCACCAUUAGGAAUCCGUGGGUGAAACCAAAACCAAAGCCGAACUCAAGGCCCUGUUUAGUUUCCCAUCCAAAAUUUGAGGUGUGCAUUCAUGUAACCUUUUGGAGCCAAACUUUGUUGGAUGGUUCAAACUUUGUGCAAGACAAUGUAUUGUUAUCUAUGGAUUGAACUCCAUGUGAUGUAUGUGUGUCUAUCAUUAUGUGAUGGAACUUCAGUUUGAGUCUGGGUAUCAUAUAUGUGCUGGUUUGCAAUUGUGUUUUUUUUGUAUUUAUAUUGUCUGUUGGACUGUCUGACGCUGAAAUUGCUUGGACUGUUGGAUCAUCUGUCGCUGUAGGUAUGGUAACAGACUAUCUGCCGCUGAAAAAUAUCAAUGGACGGUCUGACGUAAAAUAUAUUCAGGACGACAGACUGUGUGACGCUAAAAGUAUGGUCUGACGCUGUAUGUUUUUAGUGUCAGCACUUACACCGUCUGCAGAAGUCUGACGCUAUAUGUUUUUAGCGUCAGACCAUCUGACGCUGUAGCCACUUUUAGCGUCAGAUCAUCUGGCACUAAUUAUGGUGUUGUGGUGUAGUGCGACACAUUCGAUGUGGCAUCCAAAAAAUUUUCAUCUCUAAUCUAAACAGGGCCUAAGUUUUGGGUCUCCAAACUUGAAAAUCGAGUUGAAAAUUGCUCCCUCACCUGCACCUGUUGGACCUGAAAAUCAAAAGGACCUAGCUCGAAACUGCCCCAGUGCAAUCCCUAAGUGUAGAUGCUUGUCGGUUGUUUUUUUGGAUGAAGCAAGUUCGCCUUGCAAUGGUAGGGCCAAAGUGUCAAGAGGAAGGACUUGAUCGUUCUAUUGGUGACGAGGAAGAAAGCGGUGAACAUAACCAACUCACCGUAGGACUGGGUGAUGAUAGUAUUGACUUAUGCAUCAUAGAUUAGCUGGUUAGGUUAUUUGUGAUAGAACCUUACCAACUGAGUUCAAGUUCUCGACUUGACACAGGUGUUUGUAUUUUUCUUGACUUAUUUUAAGAUUUAACGGCGCUGGCGACGUGUCCGUCGACAGCGAGGGCCUGUGGUGACUUCGUAAAUCUUGAGAUUUGCCAGUCCAACUCGAUUCUUUGGAGGUGCUCAUAGAGGUAGGAUGUGCAUGCGUACAUUUAUAGGGGUGAGUGUGUAUCUGUGUAUGCGAACGUCUGUGUUUGUAAAACUAUAUUCUUUUGAGAUAUCAUGUAUGAGCAGGAGUCAGUAUAAGACAACACGAGAAGGGAGACGGAGGUAGGGUGGAGAACUAUAGAUAACAUGCACACAGGAAGAUGAGAGAAUUCUCUAUCGUGAUUCCUUGUGAGCCACUUAAAAAGUUCAACAGACUUCAGUGCCACUACUCUAAAUUUUUUUUGCCCUCCAGACCACUCAAAACCGUAGGUGUGAAAAGUCAACAAUACCCUUAGGUGUAAAUAUGCUAUUAUUUUUUUGAGCAUCUUAACGACUUCAAAUGAAAAAACUCAAAACUAGAAAGUUGUAGAUCUUGUCAAAAUCUACAAUUUUCAUAUAAAAAAUAUUUUCAUUUAAUUUAGCAAAAAAAGAUUUGUUUUGAUAUGGUUAAAAUAUAUCUUAGAAAAACAUAUCUUUUUUGCUAUAUUGAAUGAAAAUAAUUUUUAUAUAAAAAAUAUAGAUUCCAAUGAGAUUUACAACUUUUUAGUUUUGAGUUUUUCUAUUUAAAGUCAUUAAGAUGCUAAAAAAUUAACAUCACAUUUACAUCUAUGGUAUUUUUGACUUUUCACACCCGUGGUUUGACACCGUUAGAGCCUAAUCUAACGGUAGUGGCCUGGAGGCAAAAAAAAUUUUUAGAGUAGUGACAGUGAAGUCCAUUGAACUUUUUCAGUGGCUCACAAGGAAUUGUGAUCUUUUACAGUGGCUCACAGGAAAUUCUCUCUAAUUUUCCUAUUUUAAUAUUAUGGAUAUACUCUCUCUCCGCCAAGAAGAAUAUAAUUUUAGAUUUGAGAGUAGUUAAACUUUCUCAAGUUUGACCUAGAGAAAAUAUCAACAUUUAUGUCUUUAAAUAGUUUUUUGAAUUACACAAGUACAAAUGUAAACACUCAAACACACGCACACUCGCUCCCUAUGAAUACACGUACGGAAAUCCUAUCUUCAUGAGCACCUCCAAAAGACUAUGUCGGCACAUCUCGAGAUCGACGAAGUCAUCCCAAGCGCCUCGCUGUCAACGGAAACGUUGCCUACCACUGAAAGCACAACACCGUUAAAUCCUAAAAUAAAUUUAGAAAAAUACAAGCAUACAUGCCAAAUCGAGAACUUAAAUUAUAACAACUAUUUCAUAAUAAUCAAUCUAAUGAACUUAUUUGAUAUAAAAAAUUUUAGUACUUUUAGUAGAGGUGGUCAAAGUUUAAAUAACAACUUUUAUGAGAAUUCUAUCUUUUUUUGAUAGAGGAAGUACUAGCAAACAUGCAUAAGCAUUGCAACGGAACAUACACUUUGUUGGGCGAUUAUUUGAAUGACUUGUGGCUUGGAUAUUUAUGUAAUAGAUGUGUCCUCUGUUCCAACAUGUAUGGGAACUAGAAUCCUGUACCAUUGUUGGAUACACAAACAUGUGCGGUUUUAAUUUUUAUGAGCAUGGGUCGUGAGUUUGGAUCUCAUAGGAGACAAUGGAGAUACUACUAGAAUCCACAAAAUCGGUAUGGGAAUAUGUUCCCUAGAAUUUUUCGCAGGAGAAGCCUCCUAAGACAAUUUCAACCACAGUUUGGAAAGAUGGUUCCCCUAGGGUUUCUUUAAUUUUCUUAGCAAAAAUUUUAAACUCUAGGGAAACCAAUAGAUUUUAUAAAAAAUGGAUGGAAGAAUGACUUGGUUAUAUAAGGCCAGUCUCAAUGGAGUUUCACGAAGGGUGUCAUGCACAUUAAAUAGUCUGCCACAUCAGCAAGAGCACACUUUUUGUAUGAAACUGGGAGGAGAGAGAAUGGAAAAGUUUCACCAUGGUGAAACGAACGUCGGAAACGGUGUGAAACCCGCGUUGAGAGUCGUGAUUCGUUUCAUCCCAUCGGUCUUCUUCGACACCAGCCCCGCGGACUCCGCCUCUGACGCGAGCCACCAUCCGCAGUCGCAGUCCGCCGAUCUGCAGUCGCUGCCUCCAUCAUGGCCAUGAGGGCGCGUGCAUCCGCACGCGACCGCGGAUGCCUCCCAGCGCGGCGAGCGUGAGCGCCGGGCAGGCUCCACCGCGCCGGCUCCUUCUGGCCUCGAACCAACCGACGAUGCGCCGCCAAAGGCCAACUCCUCGACGAUGCACAGGGCGGACCGCGGGUGCUGCUCGUCACGGCGACUCGUACCUCCUCGACGACACGCGGGGCGGACUGUCGUCGUGCAGAAGAGGCAACGUGCAACCAUGGCGAGCGGGAAGGCCAGGCGAGGGCGAGGGCGAGGGCAAGCUGCUGUCGGGCGCGGACCGGGAGAGCUGCUGUCGGGAGCGGACGCGAGCGAGCUGCCUUCGCUGCUGCCGGUCGUGGCCCCGCUGGCCACGAUGCCAUGAAUGAACAAAUAAAGGAAGUGGAGAAAAAAAGAGAAACACGUCAGAAGUUCGGAGAACUUCAUCUGAUGAUGAACACUGAGCUAGUCAGGCGGCGGUGAGUACGGCUCGGGAAGACUAGAAAAAACGGCCGCGAGGCGAGUUCCCCGACGUCGUCCGCUGGGCAUGGCUCAGCUGGCCGCGAGAGGGGAAAAGAGAACGAUGGGACCCACAAAAGUUUAGAAUAAUAUAUGAAACCGUGCUAUGAAAUUACACACUGUGGAGAAAGAUAUGUUCCAAGUUAAGUUUCGCAUCUUGGAAACUGGAAAGGUGAAACCUUCCAUUGAGACUGGCCUAAGAGGAGAAAUUAGAUGUAAGAUAUAUAUAUGUUGGAUCAUGUGGUUAUGCUAUUGGUCAUGUAGGGAUUGGAUAAGAAUCGGCCACCAACCACAGACAUAUGCAUGUUUAUAUGCAAUUGAAGCAACCCAUGCCUUCUUUUUCCAUCUUGUUUUUUAUUGACAAAGUGACAUUUGUUGACAGGUGACCACUGAGUGACGACUUGUAUAUUUUGGUUCGGUAGUGGAAAUGGACUAUGCAUGCUCGACAAUGAGUACAUUUAACCAAUGGGUUACCAGACUUGUACCCCUAUACUAGGAGUAGGAUUAUCAUGACUCAUGAUGAAUUGAAUGAAAGGUGAUUGGCAAGCUUAUUGGGUAGAGCUAAGAAUUAGUCUGAUCCAAAUUCGUAAUUCACAACUGAAUAUUUCAAGCAACAGUGAUGUAAACAAUGUUCUUCCCCAAUUAUUUUGUGGCAUCCCAUGGAAGGAACACAGAUGCAUGGCCAAGAUAUAGAUAGUACUUUUAAAAAAUGUUUCUACACUUCGAGAUAAUGUUUCUCUUAUUCUAGUUAGCUCAACUCAGAGAACAAAAUGUUUUUUAUACUAACUUUGUUGAAAUGGGCUCGGGUCCCAGCAUGUUAGUGUUCUUUGUACCUUAUGUUAAAGUAAAUUCUUCUUUUUUGCCUCACAAAGGUUCCUUUCUUCUAGUGAAAUUCUUCGAGUAUAUAGACUAAUAUAAUUUAAGUUUUUUUCUUUUGCGAGUGGUAUAAUUCUCUGUCUACUUGAGCUUUUUAGCAAAUGGAAUUAUAGUUAGGCCAAGAUGUGUCUUUAGAAUGAAGUAAGUUCUCAAUUUCAUGCGGGUCAUUGGAAAUUUAGAAAAAUGCUGUUGCUACUGUAGUGUUAUCUUUUGGGCCAGGCCGACUCCAUUUGCUAGUUGCAGCCCGAAAUGCAAAUAAGCACCAGUAUAAACUGGGAAUAUACUCUCAAAAAUAUCAUUAGGAAUAAAGGCAUAGUUAAAGUUCUAGGACAUGAUCGAAUACAGUAGAGAUUAGAAUCACACUACAGUUUAAUUAGAAUUUUAUAUGAACAUAAAAAUAAGACUACCAAAUUUCAUCUGGAGGACUCUUACAAAAAAAUCAACAGGAGGCAAAUUAAUUCCAAGAAUAAAAAGGGAACAAAACCUGAUGACCUCACAAAAUCAAAUAUCUCAUCUUAUGUCUAUUGGCUUAGAUAGACACCUCAGUCUGAACUAACUUAUCACGUGCGACGUGGUAAUUCUGCUAUGAUGGUAGAAAAUAAUUCACUCUGUUUGUUUUAACCUUUUAAAGCCAGAAGAUGACCAUUUCUAAGAAUUUAGGCGACACCAAUAUAACCUAUUACCAACGGAAUGAUAUAAUUGGGGGCAACACAUAAUGGCUGCCUUGGUUUUAUCUUACUGUCUUAACAUGUCAGAAAGCAAAACAUCAUGUAAUAGCCUACCUAUGAGCGAAAAAGAAAGUAACAACAAUAAGUAGGCAAAAAGCAUCGAUCAAGAUUCAAUACGAUAUAUUUAGAUUUACAUGUUUUGUCCGGAAGACAUGUGUUGUACGUACAUUUCUUUCAGUAUAUAUACUAGGAUGGAUGUGACAUAUAGAAGCUCUAUCUACAAAUACCUUACUUAAGCUAUGUGAGAAACUACCAUAGUAAUAAAAAUCAUGCUCAAAAUAGCAAGUGGUUAUGUGACUACCAUCAAAACAAGCUUAUUAACCAAACCUAUACUUCAGAUAAAGUGGUGAUGGAGUUUUAAGCUAUGUAAGAAGCUACCAUGGUAGUACAGAUCAUGCUCAAAAUAGAAAGUGGUUAUGUGACACUACUACAUGAAAAAAUUUACCGUGGCGGGCUAAAAUGCUUAACUGAGGCAGUUUUUCCAACCACCUCGGAGCAAAGGUCAUGGUUAAUGUGACCUUUUGCGAGGCGGUUGGAUGCGCGCCUCGGUUAAUCAAAUAAAAAGAAAAAAAACCCAGAGGGCUUGGAUCUGGGCCUCUUGCCCUACCGCUAGGGGAGCCAACUCUGCGUAUGCAUCGGCAGCUCGCUGCGUCCAUGCCCGCUUUGCCACCACGAAGAUCCACCGCCCACUGCAGUACAUCCGUCGCGGGUGUGGACGACCUCACGCACUGCCGUGGGUGAAGGCCUCCAAGCCCUGGACUGCGCUGCCAUGCCCUCGGCCCCGGAUCCGCGCCACCUGAGGACCUUGAGGCAGAGGGAGGAACUCCUUGCUGCCUAGAUCCACGCCGCCAGAGGAGACGGAGGAGCUCCUCGCCACGCCGUCGGUGGUGCUUGAGGGAGGACGGAGAAGCGUCGCCGCGAUAGGGGGCUCUGCCACCGAAUACGAAGGAGAGGAGGAGGGGCGUUAGAGGGAAGGGGUGCGGUCAAUGGGGAGGGGCGCUCAGGUGUCAAGUUUUGCGAGGAGGGGAAGUGAAGGGCGUCGGGCGUAUGGCGUCGCGAGCAGCCAAGGUGAGAGAGUGCGGGUGCGGCUGAGGAAGUGAAGGUGAAACCCUAGGUCUAGUAUAUAUAUGUGACCUUGAAAUUGGGCCUCUUGGGCUGGCAGGCUGGGCCAGAUUUACUGAGGCGGGUGGAGUUAUAAUACCCGUCUCGGUUAAUGAUUUUACCGAGACUGUUAUGUUAAGAUGUCCGCCUUGAUUAAUCAAUUUUGCGAGGCAGUUUAUGUAACCGCCUCGGUUAAUAAAAAAUGACCGUCUCGGGCGGUUGAAAUUUUUGCCCGCCUCGGAGGGUGUUUCAAAAGAUCACGGUAAAUCUUUUUGUAGUAGUGUGAUUACCAUCAAAACAAGCUUAUCUACCAAUCCCAUACUUAAGACAAAGUAGCCAUGGAGUUUAAGCUAUGUGAGAAGCUACCAUAAUAAUACAAAAUCACGCUCACAAUGGAAAGUGGUAUGCGACUAUCAUCGACAAGCCUAUUAACCAAUCCUAUACUUAAGAUAAAGUCCUCCAAAUAUAUUCCAUAGUUAGAGCAACUCUAGUGUCAUCUAAAAGUGAACUGUGGGAAGCAAAAAGAGAUCUAGAACAUUGGAGCAAUCAAACAUUGGGCGUUAGACCAAAAAGCGUAAUUUGUAGACGAGCCAAAUCAAGAAGAAAAAAAAAUCAUGCCGGGCAUGUCACCCCUCACGAUUCUUUUGUCCCCAAUAUGACUCAAAUAGAGAUGAUUUUUUAGUUCUAUUUGUGUGCAGAAGUCGAUGUGCACAUUGAAGGCAACGAACUUUGCUUUUAUUCGAUUCCACAGUUCGACACGAUGUUUUGCAUAAUUAAGUUGGUAUUUGUUGUUGUUUGCAAACUCUCAGAACAAAAUGCAAAGUCUAAAAAUAGGCCAUCUCUAAGGGUUUUACAUAACUGAGUUGGCAAUUAGCCAAAGUGGACCCGGUCGUGAUUUUUUUCCUUCGCGCGCGCUCGCGAUCGUCUUCCCACACGCGACUUUCCUUCGCGUGCAUAAAGUCGCCGCCGGUUCUCGUGUUUUCCUCACAGGUCGCGCCACCAGUUCUUCCUGCUCCCCACCGCUCGUUGUAGGUGCCACCGCGACGACUCAUAUCAGACUCGUUGCAGGUGCCGCUGCGGUGCCAGCCCGAUGGAUGCAACCUGCCUACGUACCCGGAUCAUCUUCCUGCUCUGCUCGUACAUUACCGUUCUAUGGCUUCGAUAGAUUGCCGAUGCACUGGUUCAUCAAUUUUAAAAUUCAUUUGAUUCAAUUCGGUCCUACUCUUCUGGCUUGUAGCAGAUGACGGCGAUGGUGUUGCUUGCGGUCGCGAUAUAUGGCGCGAAGAAAGUCCAGGUCGCGCGGGGGACCGGGAGACGCGCGGUCGGCCUUUUGCCAAGCCGUGCGCGGCUUGGCAUAUAUGCCAAGCUUGCUCUCUCAUUUGCCAAGUUGCUCAAAAUGCAAACUCUAAAUGCAAAACCAUUGGAUACCUCUUUUGUGAUUUUUGACAAAUUACAAGAAUGCAAAGUCCAAAUGCAAAACCGUUGGAGAUGCUCUUAGAGGUGCUCUUAGGCUAUCUCCAACAGCCUAUGCAUCACGCUAUCCAUAUCCAAAAUGUCUGAUCACAGUGAAAAAGCACUCCCAACAGAGUAGGCAAAGAGAGGACCUAUUUUGCGUCAUGGUGAGAGGAGACUCAAAUAUGCAUCUCUCUCUCCAUGACCCAAAUCUGCAGCAUCGAUCAUGGUGGGCCCGCGACAGGGAUCUGCCGCACAGCGAGGCGCGGUCGGUCCACCGAUGAGGACAGCGAGGCGGGCCCGUGACGAGGAGACGACGGCGAGGCGAGGCGCGGCGGGCCUGCGGACAACGACGGCGAGGUGGGUCCGCGACGGGGAGCCGCCGUCACGACGAGCGUGGUUGUCCCGCAGACGACGACGAGGAGCCGCCGGCGCAGACGACGAUGGCGAGGUAGGUCUGCAGAGGGGCGAGACUGUCUCGGCAGGGAGGAAAGGAAGCUCGGCGAGCGCGGCCGUCUCGCGCAGAGAAGGAGGGAAGCUUGGUUCUAGGCACAGUGGAGAGGGAAGAGAGCAGCGCAUGCGGUUCUGUUCGAUGGGAAGGAAUGGGGCGGCACAUUCAGUGGAUCUGCUCUCCUUUUAGGUCGGCUGUUGGAACACGAAAGAUUUGGUGUGUGUGACCCUUUUCUCCUGCGUGACCCAAAUAAACCGUAUGGAUCUCAUAUAUGGGUGAGGACUGUUGGAGACAGUCUUAGAUGAAGAUCAAUUCACAAAUCCUAUCCCUGGACCUGAACGUCACAGCCCACGACUCACAAACCAUGGGCCAUGGCCCGCAACUAACAUCCUUUUCCCCUAACCCAAGCAACCUCAUAGUCGGUCCCUAUUAGUCAUUGCCCCACCGAUCACUUGCUCCCGUCAUUUUUUCGAAACACUAUUUUACACUCUAUUCCUUAUACUCAAUAGUUGAUAUAUAUUACACGCUGUAGUUUAUCCCUUAUACUCAAUGAUCAACAUAUACUACCUUGCAUACUCUAUCCCUUAUACUCAAUAGUCGACACGUCGUCGCAACCGUGGUGUCUAUAUAUAUGCCAUACAUAAAGCUAUUCUUAACUUUGAUGUUUACCUCUUCUCCCAAGCAAGGACCAUCAUUCUCAAGCAUCAUCAGACGAAGAGAGGCCAGGAGAAGAGAUUAGGAAAAGAACCUGUGAGAAUUAGUGGGAGAGAUCCACAAGGAAGGUACUGGCGUCGCGUACUCCCCCUCUCUCUCUAGUCGACCCCUUUGUUUUCUCUCUCCUCUCUCCUCUCUCUCUCUCUCCUGGUGCUGCUGCCUGCGCCUGCUGUGUGUGUGUCCCUCCCCCCUGCCAACCCUUUUCUAUUCAGUCGGUUCCCCUCUCCUCUUCCCCCAAGCCAAACACCACCACCCCUCCUUCCUCCCCACACCCCCUCUCCCUACGCCUCCUCGCCGCUUUCCCCACCCAAUCCGACCGCCGGGCCGCCUCCUCUCCGCCGGGGCGGGCGAUUCCCCGGAGAUUCCGCGCGAUUCGCCGCGGAUUCGGGGCUCCUCCGGGGGUUUCUCGGCGAAUCGGCGGGGAUCGGGACUUCCCGGCUGGAGGUCAGGCCCCCCCUCCUCCUCCCCUCCGAUCGCUAACCCUCGCUGCUUCGUGCCCCGCCGCGUGGGGGCGGGGGUUUGCCCGGUUACUGCCCGCGCCGCCCUGUGCCUUAGGUGCGAUGAACAGACGAGUGAACUUUUGCUUCUACAUACAACUGGGUGCUGGGUGGGGUGGGGGAGAGCGAUUCCGUGAUCGGGGCGCCUUCUGCUGCGUGUCCUUGCCCGAUGUGCGGAGUGGGUUGCCGAGGGGUGCGAGUCGGCUGCGGGUUCUCCUGGUGGUUAAUUAAGCAAGUUGCUAGUAAUUGCACGAGUAGAUUUACCUGUUGCUGUUAAUGACUCUGUGCUGCUGAUCCAUUUGUUAGUUAUAUAUGCUUUGGUGGGCAAGGGAUGCGUGUCCCCCAGUGCGUGGAAUCUUCGGUGUGCAAGGAAUGGAAUGGUGUCUGUGGGAAGUAGCAUUACAGAGGACAGAAGAGGGCUGAUGCUGGUGCUAGGAAGUAGAUGUUGCGUGCCUUAUCCUGUACUGAUAUGGACAAAAAUAGGUUUGACUGGAUUGUUGGAGACUUUGGUUUACCUAAGCAUGCCACUCUAGCAGCAUACUUCUUGUUUGUACCAAAGUUACAACAGAACUGCAACUUAUGCAUCCCUAUGUCGAAUGUGCUUGCAGUACUGAUAACUUUACCAUCUGUAGGUGUUGCGAUUAGAACAGCUGUAGAACUUUUUCGCUGUUUCGAAGGCUGGCUGAUACUGAUUGGCAUAUCAGUCAUUCAAUAUGCACAUUCCUUUUAGUAUGUUCUAUUCUAUUAUUUGAUGAAAUCAGAUCAUAUCGUCACCUUUGGGUUCAAGUAUUAGCAGUAAUCACCGCUAACCAUUGGUGGUUUCUCCAACUACGUUGGUUGCCAAGCAACGUAGUUGGAAUGGCUACAUUGUAGCAAUGUUCUUUUAGUUUAGUGGUGCCUGGCACAAGAUAGUGUUGUCAUGGCUUUGCUUUGAUGUGAGCAUCCUAAUUUUUGUCACGCCUUUGAUUACACUGUGGGAUACGCUGCCAAGCAAUCAGACAAUUCUAGAUUGGCAAGGAAUCAUAUCUUGAUACCUUUAGACAUGAGGAUUAAUGACAAGAUCUAUGGCCCCCUUUGCUUAGUAGCAAAUGGGUGUUUUAUCCUCUUUGUCAAGUGAGUCCUAAGUCUGAGGCCAGGAUGAAUUUUGUAGUGGGGCUGGGGCCAAUUAUUUCAUGACUCUCACUUUUUAAUUCCUUCUCUGCAGAAUCCUCCAUCUGUUUCGGUAACUAUUUGGAACAAUUUACGUGGAGAUUGCAUACCAUCACCUUCCCUGAAGUGAAAAAUAUAUGGGCUGAUCGUGGCAUUUCAUGGGAGGUUUUGAAGAUGAUGAACCACCCUCAAAACGCGCAAGAGCAUCCUCAGUAGAAUCUGCAAGUUUACCAGAUUAUUUCUCGUUUUCGAAAUCCGUCAAUCCUUUGGGAAGUACAAUGGCUAGACCUUUGCCUUCCCAAGGGAAAGAAGUUAUGGUUGGUUCCAAGGGUGUUAUUAAGAAGGAGGAAUUUGUUAGGAUAAUCACCAAAACUCUGUAUAGUCUUGGAUAUGAAAAAAGUGGAGCAGUUCUGGAGGAGGAAUCUGGGAUUAUUUUACAUAAACCUAUGGUGAAUCUUUUCAGAGAGCAGGUGAUUGAUGGGAAUUGGGAUAAUGCGGUGGUUACCUUGAAUAAGAUUGGCCUUCAAGAUGAAAACAUCGUGAAAUCUGCGUCAUUUUUGAUAUUGGAGCAGAAAUUCUUUGAACUUCUAAGAAAUGACGAUGUCAUGGGUGCUAUGAAGACUUUACGAUGUGAGAUCACACCCCUUGGUGUUAAUAGAAAAAGAGUGCAUGAACUGUCGACUUGUAUGAUUUCUUGUUCUCCACAGCAGUUGUUCCUUGGUUUUUCAAAGCUUGGAAUUGAUUCUUCUAGUUCUCGGUGGAAGCUUCUAGAGGAAUUGCAAAAGGUGCUCCCUCCAACUGUGAUGGUGCCUGAGAGGAGGUUAGAAAAUUUAGUUGAGCAAGCACUUACUGUACAAAGGGAUGCUUGCUAUUUCCAUAAUUCUGUUGAUGGGUUGUCCCUCUACACUGACCAUCACUGUGGGAAAGACCAGAUACCGUCUCGCACGCUACAGGUAAAAAAGACUCUGGUACCUGCUUCGGUGUUUGCUUGGAGCGCUAAAACCCCACAUAAGUGCUAGUUCUGUGUCUGCUGGUCAGCCACUUAUGUACUGUAUUGAUUUGUCAUUUGUAUGUUAUUUAAAACACCUCAGUAGUUCUUUUUUUGUUCUGUAUUUCACUUCCAUUAGCUAUAUUUGGAUUAUGAUACACAGCAAUUUGAAUGAAAACAAUGGAAGUCCCAUUGUUGAUGCUGUAAUUUGCAAAUCUGAAGUCAUAAUCCAGCUUUACAGCAUGUAUGUAGACCACUUAAGCUUCCUUCUACCUUCCCCCUUGCUCCAUCUCCCUCCUUGUUCUCCCCACUUCUCACCAUUUGUUGCCAAAUAAUAAUUUCAGUUUACUGCAGAGGGUUUUUUUUCCUGAAAAAAGGUUGAUAAGAGCUGGGAGUGCCACUCAUCUUUGCACUUCACAAAAAUAUUGUAUUAGCUAUGUUUUCUUUGUUAAGAAAUCAUUCUUUCACUUGCAGUAAAAUGAAUAGAAACUUGCGACUUGUAUUUUGCCGUACAUUGUUGUCACUUUUAGCUGGAUGUGAAAUGUUAGAGAACUUGGUUAUCAAGACUAUUUUUUUCCUAGUAGCUGCAUAUCUUGAAGUUCGAUGCUUUGAAGUUCACAAGUAAAAAAAUUGUUGCAGGUUUUGCAUGCACAUCACGAUGAAGUGUGGUUUAUCCAGUUUUCAAACAACGGAAAGUAUUUAGCCUCAGCGUCAAAUGAUAAAUCUGCAAUUAUAUGGGAGGUAAACUUGUGAACCACUGAACUUAUGUUUCCAAAGUCUUCUUUUCUCAUGGUCUGCGACUCUGCGUACAAACUGGGUGGCCUGUUCCUUAGUUCCUAUUUUAAAUUUCAUGUCAAGAACUGAACUUGUCCAACCUUACUAAUGCUUUUCAUCACCUGUUCUUUAUUUUUUUUACCAAAAGUUGACUUUCAAAUCCAUUGUUAUUUUCAAAACAAAGACAGAAGUCUGCCAUUUCAUAUUACAUUUUUUCCACUGAAAGCCUACUGCUUAUUACUCCGUCAGUUCCAAAUUAUAAGACAUUUUGGCUUUUCUAGACACAUUGCUUUUACUAUGUAUCCAGACAUAGUGGUAUAUCAACAGUCAUUGUACUCCCUCUGGUCCAGUUUAUAAGGCACCUUCUAACAUGGUCUCCUAAAUUACACUUUGACCAUUCAUUUAUUUUAUAUUAUAUUAUUUGUUAUAAACUUAUGAUCAUUGGAUAGUACAUUUGAUUACAAAUCUUAUCAAUUUUGUUUUACAAUGGUUAAAAAUUCAGUCAAAUUAUUAGUCAAAAGAUUAUAUAAUGACUCUUGACCUACACAAAAUGCCUUAUAAACUAGACAGGAGGGAGUAUCUAGAAAAGUCAAAACAUCUUAUAAUUUGAAAUUGAUGGAGUACAUCUUGUAAGCUCCCUAGCUUGAAUACUGGCACUUCUGUAUGUUCUUGUUGAUCAUGAAAGUGUCUGUCCCCACUAUCUUACGGUUGCACUGCAGUAAGUUGGGUUGUAAUGGUAAUACAGGUAGAGACUUCAAUCGCGUAAUUUGCUACUGAUAAAUGAAGCUUUAGUUUUUACUUCUGUUUUGUUGUUAUUGACCAUGCUAUGCGGUUUACUUUUCCUCUUUUUUAUCCCUUCAUGAAUUAAUCUUUUCAUUUCGUAGGUUGAUGAAGAUGGAGAGCUAUUACUGAGGCAUACAUUGAUUGGUCAUCAGAAGUCGGUGAUGAUGGUCGCAUGGAGCCCUGAUGAUUGCCAGCUUCUCACAUGUGGGCAGGAAGAAGCCAUCAGACGCUGGGAUGUUGAAUCUGGCAAAUGUCUUCAUGUUUAUGCAAAGCCUGUUGGUUUGAUAUCAUGUGCUUGGUUUCCAGAUGGAAAACAAAUAUUGUCUGGUCUAGCUGAUGAAAACUUUUGCAUUUGGGAUUUAGAUGGUAAUGAAGUAGAUUGCUGGAAAGGGCAGAGAUCAACAAGAACAUCUGAUUUUGCUGUAGCAAAAGAUGGAAAUCUUAUAAUAAGCAUGAGUAGGGAGAGCACAAUUCUUCUAUUUGAUAGGGAGACAAAACAAGAGAGGUUAAUUGAAGAGGGUAGUACAAUUACUUCAUUUUCUCUAUCAGAAGAUGGUGAUUUCCUGCUUGUAAAUCUUAUAAGCGAAGAGAUUCAUUUGUGGAACAUAAGAAAUGAUCCUGUUCGAGUCAACCGGUACAAGGGCCAUAAGCGCAACCGGUUUGUGAUAAGGUCUUGUUUUGGUGGAUCUGAGCAGGCGUUCAUUGCUAGUGGGAGUGAAGAUUCACAGGUAUGGCGAUUGCCUUGUGACCCACCUAAUGGCUAUAGAAUCGAUAUUAUGUGUGCACUUACCUUUGUUGUCAUUGUUUUUAUUAAUAUGCACUGCUCCCAGACACAUGCUGUUUUAGACAAUUAUAUUUAUUGUCAGAUGAGUCAAAUCUAAUGGAGAGUGCAGCUAACAUGUUUGUCAUUUGAACCGUCCUCAUUGCAUUACAUUAUUCUUUUAUAUACGAUAAAGCAUUCAAACAUCCUGUGACACGGAAAUCAUUGGCUAACUCGGGGACGCUCUUGCAACUGGCGCCUAUGUCUAGGCCGGUCUCAGAUUUAUUAUAAUUUAAUAUGCAUGCCUAAUUGCUUAUGGCCUUGUUUAGUUUCGAAUUUUUUUUGGGUUUUGGUACUGUAGCACUUUUGUUUUUAUUUGGCAAUUAUUGUCCAAUCAUGUACUAACUAGACUCAACAGAUUCAGGUAAACUGUGUAAUUAGUUUUUAUUUUUGUCUAUAUUUAGUGCUUCAUGCAUGUGUCGUAAGAUUUGAUGUGAUGGGGAAUCUUGAAAAGUUUUGGUUUCUAGGGUGAACUAAACAAGGCCUGUCUGCACAUGCUAGUUUCCACCACUUUUCUUCUAUAGUUUCAUACAUUCGGCAUGCAGCAUAUUUGUUGACACUUUCUUCCAUGUCUUCUGACCAAAUCUUGCUGCUGAUUUAUUUUAUGCUAGGAGAUGCCACUAUAAAUACGUUGAAAUUAUCCUGUGUUUUUCAGCUGAUUGUCUUUUCUGAUGAACUAUUAUACUUCCAAGGGGUGUAAUGGAGGCAUGUAGUUAUGGCAUCCAUAUAUCUUGUAGGCAGUAGAAAAUAUGAUACUUUGCAUUUCAUCAGUAAUAAAAGAAGUAAAAAUGUUACUCCUGCCUUUCAAAUUGGAAGUUGUUUUUGUUUUUCUAGAUACAUUGCUUUUACUAGGAAAGUCAAAACGACUCACGAUUUGAAAUGGAGGGAGUACUUCUUAAAGUUGCAUUGGGAAACAUAAGAUUUAGCCUUUGCAAUGUCUAGAAGGCCUGUGGUUGGUUGGUCCAGCCCACACGGUUCAUUGCAUAUUUUCUUUUGUACCCUGCAAGGUAAUAAUGUGCAACACCUGGUCAUGUUUCCAGGUCUACAUAUGGCAUCGAGCCACUGGUGAUCUCAUUGAGACUCUUGCUGGUCACUCGGGCACAGUCAACUGCGUAAGUUGGAACCCUACGAAUCCCCACAUGCUUGCAUCAGCUAGUGACGAUCACACAGUUCGUAUAUGGGGGGCAAAGAAGGCCAGUCUUAAGCGCAAGGAUGUUGGGAGCAGCAACUGCAACAGUAACGGUUUCCACUCGAAUGGCAAUGCUCAUGGCAACGGUUUCGUUCACCAGUGCAAUGGGAACAGCACCAAAUGAUUGGCCAGGGCAAUGUAUCUCCAUGGAUGGUUAACUGGCAUCUGUAAAUCCCCCUUUCCUUUUACUUCCCUCCUGGAAGAAGAAUCGCCACCGCCAUAGUGAAAAAAAAAACAAAAAAAGAAAAAAACAAAGCUGCAGCACAAAGUGUGGGGAACCUGCUGGGUUUCGUGCGCCAUCUUUCCCUUGUUCCAUCAUGACUGUCAUCACAUUUAUUUCUUAAUUCAAGCUGGGAUGGAAUUAUGAUAUUGCUUAUGCAUCUUUCAUAUCUUGAUGUACCCUCCCUGAUUGAUUGUAACUGUAUUUUGGUGGUGAUGCUGAUGGUGGUCAAUUCCUCUGAUUGCAUUUUGCCUUGAGAAGAAACAAAUGUUGGCCUAGGAUGCUCCGCCUAAAAAAAUGGGAUGGAACAUCUUAUCAUAAAUUUAAAUAGAUUCAAUUAUUUGUUUCAAGGGAACAAGUGGUUUGUUUGCUUGCCAUAUUAUUCCUUGUAAGCAAAUAUCUAGGGUAAAUGGAAAUUUUGAAUAUUUUUCAAACCAAACAACUAACCAGUGUUCUAGCAUCAUUGAAAUAACUUGUGUGUUGUAGGUGAACUUUCUUAAAAAAAAACUGUUGCAUUUGAAGAUAUGAAAGUUGGGUAGGGGCAUUUACGGUCUGUUUGGUUAGGCUAUGGAGAAGUUGUGAGCUGUGAAAGUGAAAAAGUAGUUGUGAGUUGUGUGAAAAAAGUGGCUCUUUGGUUUAAAUAACUGAAAACCAAUCAUCUCUCUCUCUCUCUCUCCAAACAGCUGUAAAAUAUCUAUUUUCAUCCAUUUGGAAAAACUAAAAGGGGAGUUCAAGGUAUUGUGAAAAUUGUACUACGAGAAAGCAGCAACUUCCUUUUGUUCUAUCGUUUGGUUGGCUUUCUGCUUUUCUAUCGAUCAGCAGAAAUGUUUUCCAAAAGCUGAUUAAACAAAAACUUUACUAAAGAUGAACCUUGAGGCAGGUUAGGGCACGGCCAACGCACGCAGUUAAAUUUGUUAGCCUCGUGCAAAAGUACCAGUCUACAUAGAGACUCAGGGGGUGUUUAGUUAAAAAAAUACAAAAUGCAGAAUGUCAACUAUUUUAGAAUAGUAGAAUGUAAAAUGUUGAAAUUUUCUGGACAUGAUACCUUCAUAUAUGACCAUUGACUAUAAGAUGAGUUCAUUUCUAUAUUUGUAUAAUAAUUUUUGGUAUAAUUCACUUGGUUCCACAUGCAUAUAUCAUUAUUUGCAUGUAGGUAUGAAUGUGUCUCAAAGUGCAAGGUCAUCAAAGUUGAAUUUUUAGUUCGCUAACGGCCCGAUAGUGCUUUAUUGGGAAGGUCAUAACUCAUCCAUCUGGAAUGAGAUUGAGGUCAAUGAGCACUUGAUGGAAAGCUUGUUUGAUAAGCUUUCAAAUAGAUCUGGUCCUACCUCAAUAUCACAUCGGCAAAGCCUUCAAAUAGUUAUUAUAUUCUGUUGUUGUUUGUGCCGAGAGCUACAUCAUCAUUAUGGGUAUAUUUUUUUUCUUGUGACUCUAGUCAAGUGGGAGCACAUCUCAAGGAGAAGGAGAAGCCACAAAAGGAGCCCUUGAAUGUCCUCCUCUUUGCCCACCACCUUAGAAGGUCAGCAAAGUCGUUCAAGACAAGUCAGAGGCCCAAUCCAUAUCAAGUUUGAGUCCAUCUCGGGCUUCGGGACCAGCAUGAGGUAAACACAGACGUCCAGGACACAUCCGGACUCUGUUUUUGAUGAUCCAUAUAUGGAUGGAAAGAUAAUUUCAUAAGCUAACCAACGGCUUUGGUUUGAUGCCUAAAUUCCAUCGGCGUAAAGGGAAAUCGUCGAAACAAGUUGACAUUUAGAAUCCGUCGGGGCGUUACGUCGCCAUCUUUAGGGUUGUUGGGCCUUGUAACGUGUUAGACCACCUUAUGGACGUGAAGAGGAGUCCUUAGACGUCCCUUAGGCUAUAUAAUUAGUAGCCUCCACCUAUGUUAGGGUUUGGCUUUUGCUUAGAUUAUUUUGUCAAAAACAGUUUCGCCGUGAGAUCCUAACUCGUGAGAUUAAUCAUUCAUCUGCAAAUUGGUUGCAUUCUUCCUUGUUCUUGCUUGUAUUAUUCGAUUCGGAGGCAAGGAUUAGCCUUCUUGGUGAGGUCAACCGUGCAGCGCCGGUCGAUAACCAGAGGAGAUGUGGUGCUAAGGUUGCAGGGUUUGGAUCUUUGUGAUCUGAAGCCAGAUUGUGUGUCGUUCUCUGACCAAAUCGUUGUUUAUCUUGAAUCUGAUGGAAGAUCGGGACCCAUCCCCAUUAUUUAGUUCCAUCCGAAAUACAGAAUUCGUGCAAAAGUACCAGUCCACGUAGACUUAGGGGGUGUUUAGUUAAAAAAAUGCAAAAAGUCAACUAUUUUGGAAUGAUAGAAUGUAAAAUGUUAAAAUUUUUAGAGUCAUGUUUAGGUCCAUCUAAAAUGUAGAAUCUAUUGUCCCCAUGAGAGCCUCUUGAAGUUCUUUUUGGGUUUUUUAAGCCUCCUAAGGCCAAAAUCUACAAUGGAGAAUAACUAAUUUUUUACCAAAAAAUUUAUAUACUUCCUCCGCCCACGAAAGAAUCAAUUUCUAGGAUCCGUGCCAGUCAAACUUUUUAAAGUUUGACUAACUUUAUAGAAAAGAGUAACAACAUUUAUAAUAUAAAAUACACAUUAUAUGAAAAUAUAUUCUAUGAUGAAUCUAAUAAUACUAAUUUGAUACUAUAAAUCUUAGCAUUUUUUUCUAGAAAUUUGGUCAAAGUUUAAAAAGUUUGACUUAGGACAACUCUAGAAAUUGACUCUUUCGUAGACGGAGGGAGUAGUAUUUAGUUCCAUUUUACAAAAUGAUGGAUCAAAAUCUAAUUUUUUUUAAGAGAAAAGGGAAACUAAAAACCCUCCUAGUAAUCUAGUUGUACUAUUCACUCAAUCCUAACGUACUAUAGUUUGUGGUCCCAUGAAUUACUGUUUUCUUCCAUUGUCUUUAUACGUUAUGUUUCAGCUUCUCAACGCUGGCUGUAGCGGGUGUGUCUCAAACUUUUGUCAGAUGGGGAUGGGGAUAUUGUAGCCUCUUCAGGCACAUCUGAGGUUCUGCGCGAGGCCAUCAAUCGCUAUAACCUGGAUGGCUGACUCCGGUGUUAAUCGCUACAAUGUGGAUGGCAUCGUCGGCAACGGCUAGAUAUCGUUGGGGCACUUCAGUAUCUAACGUUGACAAGGCUAGAUAUAUCUUUCUUUCAUUCUCCCACAACGUUGCCUUAGAACACUGUGAAGAGCCUUAAAAUAGGGAUUGUUGGAUAUCUUGAAGGGCUCAAAUCAAUCGGGAUUCAAAAUAGGAAACACAAAUCCAUGUUGGUUAUUAGUGCCUUUUCAGAUGCUGAUUAGGCAAAAUAUUCUUUUGAGCAAUCUUGUGUCAUAUGGCGUGCAAUGAAACAAGCAACUAUCUCUAUGUCUAGAGCUCAUAAAGCUACAAUAAAUACAGCUACAAAUUAAGAUAGUGUGCAUUCACAAGCUUCUGCAUGAAUUGUGAAUCUCACAUCCGAAAGUAGCCUAUUAUAUUGACCAAAUAUUUAUAUUAUGUCAUUCUGGUCUUUCAUGCUAGGACAAACAUGUAGAGAUUAACUAUCGCGCUUUGUGGGAGGAUAAGGUCUGGUUGGAUGUUGGAGUAAAAUUUAGUUCAAGUUUGACUACAAUCCAUCCCAAACACAUGUGGAUUGAGAUGACUUCGACAUUCAAAGAAGAGCUGGAUCAGGCAACUUGAUAUAAGAUUCAUCGGCUCGACAAAUGUGCAUGUAAAUUGCCAUACAUCGGUAAUUAUAUUAUUACUCUUUUUUAAGGCGCAAGUCUUCCGAUGCAUAGAAGCUUAGACUUUUGGGGUCUAUUUGUACAUGUGUAACUAAUAAUUAGCUGCUAAAAUUAGCCAAAAAUCUAUUUGGAUAUUUAUCUAGUAAUAAGGUCCUGUUUGGAUCUCCUCUAAACCUAGCUCUAAAAAAUUUAGAGUAUUUUGGCUUAUUUUGAGGUGUAAAGCUCUAGUGUGAGAUACUGAGGUGGGAUAAAAUUUAGAGGUAACUUAAAACUAUCUAUUUGGAGAUUUUAGCUCUGAAGUUUAGAGCAGGAGAUCAAAAUAAAACCCUAAGUCUAACUAAUGUCUUACCUAUAACCUAGGUAACCAUUAUUGGUUUCUUUUAUCUAACACUGCUUAUAGCUAUCUGGAUGGAUCCAAAAAGAGCCUUAGUAAUUGAUUUUUUAUAAUUGCUUGUGUGGGACCCAUGCGGUGACACCUAUAACUCUUUCUCCUAGUGUUAUUAGAUUCAAACCACUAAAGUUUUUGAAAAUGAGUUAUUGGGCUCUGUUUGGAUCUAUUAGCUGCUGUUAAUUAGCUAGGUAAGUAUUAGUUGGUUUGCUCCAGUUAAUGACAUACUCCUUCUGUGCGCCCCCAAAAUAAGUGACUUUUUUUUUACUCACAGACAAGAUAUUUGAUCGUUUGUCUUAUUUUUUUUUUGUGUGUAAAUUAUAAAAUAAGUAAAUUAUUAUUAAUUAUCUCUAAUAAUCAAAUAGAUCAUAAUAAAAUAGAUAAUAUUUAUAUAAAAAAUUUGAACAAAAUGAAACGUCAAACAAAAAUGUUAAAGAAAAAAACGUCACUUAUUUUGGAGAAGGGGGAGUAGUUGUUAGUUGAAGCUUCAGUUAUGUGGAUCCAAACGAGCUAACUAUUACUAGUACCUAACCUAAUAUAUCACACACAGCUGUGUUCAAAGAACUUACUAUGGCUCAAAUGUUGCCGUCACUCUGGUUCCUGCCGGCCGGCUCCUACUGGGCCGGCUAUACAUGCCCAUCCGCACGCACUGAAAUUUUCGUCCAACAGUAGGGUACACCUAACACAAACAAGAUUUUUGACUGCACUUGUGCAAAUGAGAACGAUGCUGGAGUUUGGACAAAUCCAGCCAGUCCUUGUCACUUAUCAGUGACAACACAGAUGUCGCUACGUACCGCCACCAAUCUUGUUGUUUUGCUAUCCCUUGUCCAGUGCAAUCAUACAUAUACAAUCUCUCAUAUAUAUCAAUGGUCAUUAUAUGUUGGGAAUCCUUACAAGCAGAUAUAUAGCAGUGGCACCCCCUUGCAGUCUUGACAAGGUGUCAGGAAUUGAGCUUGGAAAUGGAGGAGUUCGCCCUGUGCCCAAAUCCUCAUUUCGUGGUCAUCCCAUGGCCAGUCACCAGCCACAUGAUUCCCAUGGUGGACAUCGCCUGCCUCCUCGCCGCGCACGGCGCCCCGGUCACCAUCAUCACCCCGCCUUCCUGCUCCCAGCUCGUCCACAGCCGCGUCGACCGCGCCCGCGCCGGGCAAGCUGCCGGCUCGGCGGGCAUCGGCAUCACGGUGACCGCGCUCCCGUUCCCUUGCGCCGAAGCCGGCCUGCCGGCGGGCUGCGAGAGGCUGGACCACGUCCCCUCGGUCGACCUCGUGCCCAACUUCUUCGACGCCAACGCGCAGUUCGGCGACGCCGUGGCGGACCACUGCCGCCUUCUCAUGGCGACGCCGACGCCGACGCGCCGGCCGAGCUGCAUCGUCGCCGGGAUGUGCAACACGUGGGCGCACGGCGUGGCGCGUGAGCUCGGCGUGCCCUGCUUCAUCUUCCAUGGCUUCGGCGCGUUCGCUCUGCUGUGCUGCGAGUAUCUCAACACGCACAAGCCGCACGAGGGCAAGUCGCUGGACGAGGCCAUCGACGUCCCCGUCCUGCCGCCGCCUCUCGAGCUCAAGUUCGCCAGGAGGCAGCUGCCGCUACAGUUCCUGCCUUCGUGCUCCAUUCCGGAGAGCCGCCUUCGAGAGCUCCGGGAGUUCGAGAUGGCCGUGGACGGCAUCGUCGUGAACAGCUUCGAGGAGCUGGAACACGACUCGGCCGCGCGCCUCGCGGCCGCCACGGGCAAGACCGUGCUCGCCGUCGGCCCCGUCUCGCUGUGCGGCGGCGGCGGCGGCGGCGGCGCACGCGCACCUCCUAGCCUCCUCGACGUCCGGGCCGCCACCGACAGCUCGGUGAACGAUGACGCCAGACGGUGCAUGGCAUGGCUAGACGCCAAGAAAGCCGAGUCGUCGUCGUCGUCCGUGCUGUACGUCAGCUUCGGCAGCGCCGGCCGCAUGCCGCCGGAGCAGCUGAUGGAGCUCGGGCUGGCGCUCGUGUCGUGCUCCUGGCCUGUCCUCUGGGUCAUCAAGGGCGCGGACACGUUGCCCGACGACGUCGACGAGUGGCUACAGCACAACACCGGCGGCGACGACGGCCAGUGUCUCGCGGUCCGCGGGUGGGCGCCGCAGGUGGCCAUUCUGGAGCACCCGGCCGUCGGCGGGUUUCUGACGCACUGCGGGUGGGGCUCGACGCUGGAGAGCGUCACGGCGGGCGUGCCCAUGGCCACCUGGCCGUUCUCCGCCGAGCAGUUCCUGAACGAGAAGGUGAUCGUUGGCGUGCUCGGCAUCGGAGUGUCUGUCGGCGUGACGAAGCCCACGGAGGGCGUGCUGACCGGCGCCAAAGACGGCGGCGGCGGCGGCGCUAGGGCGAAGGCGGAUGUGGGAAUGGAGCAGGUGAAGCGAGCGUUGGAUAUGCUGAUGGAUGGAGGAGUGGAUGGGGAGGCAAGGAGGACGAAAGCUAGGGAGCUCAAGGCCAAAGCGAAGUCGGCUUUGGAGCAUGGAGGAUCGUCGUAUAUGAAUCUGGAGAAGAUGAUACAAUUUGCAGCUUAAUUAGCUUGAAAAUGGAUUGGUCUAGCUUGGUCAGUUUCAGCAAGCAACUCAGUUUAUUUCUGCGUAAUAAAGGUUAAGAAACUACUAGGACUGCAAGCAGCUGGGGUAUAUUACAUGUAGGGUUCAGGAACGCUGUCGCUGCAGGCUGGGCAAUCUCUGUCCAGGAUUGCAACUAGGCAGGAGUAGACGAAAAAUGGCAACAUCGAUCAGAGAUACUUUGGAUUGAAGAUCAGUGACUCAUGUGCGUUGUCUAAGAUUUACUCCCUAGCUAUGUCCUGGAUAAAUACAGUACAUCGUGACUUCUAAAAUUUGUACUGCAAGCAGACGGGGGAGAAAGUUAUUUUUGCCCUUAAGGGCAUGUGCUCCCACUCUCUCUACCACUGGAUUCGCAUUGAAAAGUGUGCAAACACACAUCUCAAUGCGAAUCUGCUUUGAGAUGUGUGUUUGUACACUUCUCAAUGCGAAUCCAGUGGUGGAGAGAGCGAGAGCAUAUGCCCUUGAGAGCAAAAAGGUUUCAGGAACACUGUCGCUAGCUGCAGGAUGGGCAAUCAAUUGCAACUGGGCAGGAGUGGCACGGUAGAGGAUGAUUCAAUAAUGCUAUGUGAAUGAUGCUUUGAUCUAUUGAAGAAAAUGAAGAACACAAUCAUGCAAGCGAACAGCAUGAGCCACAAAUUGCUUUCAUGAAUCAUGAUGAGAAGAAUUUGCGCAUUAGUGUUGUGGUACUUGCAUUGAUAGUAUACAGUCUAUAGAGCUUAUGGAUUGCAUGGUGUUUGGAAAAGAAAAUUGUCCUGAUUUCUGAAUGCACGUUCCCGUUCUUAACAGCUACUGCGCAUAAAAUAUGUGGUAGUUAAUAACAAGAGAAUGAAGCCUACAAAAAUAAUGAAGAUGCAAAUGGUUAUUCAUGGGAAUGAGGAAUGAAUGCAAGAGUUCUAAAUUAUGAAUAAAAUGGGAACGUAAUAUUCUAGGUGUAAGGUAGCUAAAAAUGUAUUUUUAUGUAAGUGUUAGUGAAACUCUCUUGAUUACAUACCGAGGCCAUGAUACCGUUCAGAGAGACGGGGACAUCUGCACUAACUGGUCUAUUAACCGUAAUUCCAUAUCCUUAGAGCAACUCCAACAGUUUACGACUAAAACUCACUUGGCAAAUCUAUAAUUUUGCCAAGUCUCAAAACCAAAUGCUAAGUGAAAAAAGAGGUCUUCUCCAACAGUUUGUUAUUUAGGCUUGGCAAAAGAACUUGGCAUCCUAGGGUUUUUGCCAAAAUCACAAAAUUGAGCCUCCAACAAGUUGGCAAAACUAGUUGGCAAAUUGGGAUACACGUGAUGCCAAAUGAUGGAGGACUUGGCAUAUUUGCCAAGUGAAGGGGGGAUUUUGCCAAGCUCACAAAAUUGCCAAGUAGUUUUGCCAAUUUGUUGGAGGCUGUUUUUUAUGAUUUUGGCAAAAAUCCUAGGAUGCCAAGUACUUUUAGCAAACUGUUGGAGUUGCUCUUAGAGUUACAUGCCUGGCUCACCAUGGUGUCAACCUCAAAUAACCUAGUCCAUAAAGGAGAUCCUAGUUUCUCUAAAAUGAAAGGCCAAAUGGGCCAUAAAAAAAAAUAUUGUGGUGGACUUGGUGGACGCCAAGACCAGUGGCCCACGUAAGGGCGUAAGGCCCAAGCCCACAACGUUCUCGACGCUACCUGAUCACUCCUACUAGGGUUCCGCACCCCUCCCCACCUAUAUAUACCGUCAGCCGCCGCCGUCCUCCCAUUCCCCUCCCCUAUCGUGAACCCGCCGCCGCCGCCGCCGCAGGAGGAGGAGACGCGCCAAGGAGAGCACGCGAGGAGGCGACCAUGAGGGCCAAGGUAUCCUCCAUCCAUCUCCGCGCCUACUCCUCGCGCCUACCAUCUCGUCGAUUAGAUCCGUGUGUGGCGUAGCAACUCGUUGCCACGAGUAGUUCUCAACUCGGUUCGUCCAUGUCCCGGGGCUGUGAUUACAAAGAGAGAGGCUCGAGUGGCGCAAUUCUGGGGUGGAAUCUCUUAUGGGACGGCGGAUCUCGCCGUGCGCUCGUGGACGCCCCCCUCGUCGCGGCGGCCGGGUCUGGAUCGGUAGCUUGGGACGCGAGGUGCCGCUCUGCGCGAGGCUGAUCCUUAGACCAGUCUCAAUGCAUAGGGCCUUGUUUAGAUGCACAUGUUUCGAGCCGAGCUGUGACAAAUCGUGUCGCGCAGAGCUUGGUAUCUCUGUGUCCCGUGCAUCGUUUCCGCAUGGUCCAGCCGCUGCGGUCUCGGAGGCGUCGCGUGCUUGUGGCGCCGCCGUCUUCUAGGGUUCUUCCCUGGCCACGGUGAAGGUUUCUUAAUCGCAUACACUUGAUAUGAGCCCCGUGGAUGAUGGCCUUAAGCCUCUGCUUGUGAAAUGUUGUUAGGAGAUUGAAUUGCAUUUCUAGCAGCAUCUGAUGGUGACUGUAGUCCUUGCUCUAAAUUUUUAAAGAUUUAGAUGCUUUGUUACUUAUGAUUUGUUUGCACUGGAAUCUGCCUGGCACCGUAAAUAAGCAAUUGCACGUUGAUGCUUAUCAGUGUUUGUCAUUACUAAUGCUUAUCAGUGCAAUUGUACUGGAAUCUGCCUGGAGAGAUUUUUGUUCCGUGUUUACCUUUAAUCUGUGGAAUUGUCUACUUCCUCCACUUAACCUGCAGCACAAAAAGGUAGUAUGUUGCCAGGCACUUAAGAUAAGAAUUCUGUUUUGUAGUUAAUUGAAAAUUGUGUGAUGGACAGGAUAAGGAUAGCCCCGUUCUUUUGCAUAGUUGUUAGAUGUAUUCCUUACAGUAUGUCUUUAAUUGUCUUGUACUCCCUCAUUUCAAAACAUAAGCUGUUUUGGCUUCUCUAGGUACAUUGCUUUUGCUAUGUAUUUAGAUAUACACUAUAUCCAAGGGUAUAGUAAAAGCCAUGAAUCUAGAAAGCCAUAAAGUCUUAUAAGUUGGAAUGGAUGGAGUAUACAAGAAUGGUCCUGUUCUUCUUCAUUUUAGUUAGUUGCAUUCUUGUCUAUGCUGUGCUAUUAUUUUUCCUCUUAUCUAAUGCUCACUCAACUAAUGCAUUCUUAUCUGUCAAUCUUCAGUGGAAGAAGAAGCGCAUGAGGAGGCUGAAGAGGAAGCGCCGAAAGAUGAGGCAGAGAUCUAAGUAAGCUGGUGGAGAUGGAUGGUGGACGUGAUGGCAUGCUUGAGUACAUACAUUUCUUCGGAUGCGUUUGCUCAUGGAGAGGCGUGAACCUGGUGUGCAGUCACAGUUUGCCAUCUGUCAAUUGGCUUGUCUCGGAAACCUGCACUUCAGUAGGCUAUCGUGGUUCUAGUUAUAUCCAGAGUUUUGCACUAAGACAACUCGGUCUGUUUUGUGAACCUAUUAUGAUGGAGCUUUAUUUGCUGCUAAUAUCGACCUACCUAUCUACCUACCUGUUAAGUAAUUCCUGUGUUUGUUUAUGCUGUGCUUGCCUGAUCUUUCAUUGUGUUAUUGUGGUAUCUGCUCGUUGGUGCUGGUUUAUCUGGCCUGUUUCUGUAAAUCAUCAGAGAAACAGCGUCCUGCUGUGUUGAAGAGCACACCGAUCGCUAUGCUUCACAUUGAAGCUGAUGCUCAACAUUGACUCAUAGUCUCAUACAAGCAUUGAAGCUAUUGUUCAUUCUAUGACCGACAGUUUCUCUAUAAUGGUGCAUAUGAACAUUGAAGCAGACAACAUAUUUUGCAGCUCGAACCUCUGUUGCCAAGCUGAUGCUCUACAUCGAUUUUAAUUGCAGUAACGGUUUGCUGCUGUGGCACGUCUGCGUAUCUCUGACGUUAAACGUACCGCGAGGUUGUUUUGGUCUGCGAUCCAGUGUUACCGCGAGAUGGUUUUGUUUUAUCAUCAAUUUUUUUUCUUUGUGUGUGCAAUGCCUCGGUUCGCUGUAGGCCUGAAGCUAAAAACCAAAGUCCCAUUCUGACUCUGAUACUCGUUCUGAAUUUUUUAUUUUUUAUUUUUUAAAAAUAUUUUAAAAAUCACUUAUAAAAGGAAAUGGUUUUCGUUUUUAUUUUUUAAAAGUCCCAUUGUGUUGUUUAAACAUUUGCUAGUUUUUUUUUGAGGGGAUUAAACAUCGUCUUAUCAUCUAGUUGGACUGGCCAACCAAAGGAAAUGCACAAUCUACGGUCCAUUUCAAAACCGCGAGCGUGGACUAAUCAAGCCCACGAUAGGACCUUUCGUUUAGGCCCAAGUCCAACCGAAGGCUCACUAACCAAAUGCAAUGCCCUAUUCGGCCCAAUUAAGGCCCAACGCCGUCUCGCUCAUGUCUCUCUCCACCACUACGCUCGUGGUCUCUCGAUGGGACCACCACUCCAAUGGACGGCGCGGAUCUCCCCUCCUACUCCGCCGCCACGGCCGCCGACGGCGACCGGCCUCCGGAGAGCGCGGUCGACGGAGGCGUGGAGAACGAGCGUGCCGCCGCGCCCACUCCAGAGCGGUGCGAGGCGCCGCCUCCGGAGAGCGCGGUCGACGGCGGCGUGGAGGACGAGCGUGCCGCGGCGCCCACUCCGGAGCGGUGCGAGGCGCUGGCCUCCGCGAUCGCGGGGGUGCUGGCCGGCGCGCUGCGGGAGCACGAGGAGCGGGCGGCCGCUACUGCCCGGAGCCAGGACGAGGUCGCCGCUGCCGUCGACCGCCUCAACGGAGGUAGGUGCCUCUCCCCGCUCCCGCCUUCGACUUUGUCUGCUGCUGAUGCUGUCGUGUGGUGCGCGCGUUGUGGCUUAGGGUUCUCCAGCUUCGGAUGCGGUGUAUUGUGGCGUUAAUUCAAACCGAAGAGUAGUGGGAUUUAAAUGACAUACUAGCAAUUGAGUUGUGAGCUCUGUGUUUUAUCUAUCUACUUUGCCUCUUUUCUUGAACUAUUCAGUACUCUUCCGUAAUUUCGUCAUCACGAUGGCAAUGAAAUUCAGGGACAUCCCAAAAAAUGUACUUUGCCUCUUUGAGAUUCUAACAGAAGACUAGUGGGAUUUAGAUGACAUACGAACAAAUGAGUUGUGAGCUCUGUAUUUAUUUAUCUACUUUGCCUUAAACUACUCCAGCACUCUUUCGUAAUUUCCUCACCAUGGUAAUGAAAUUCAGGGACCAAAAAUGUACUUUGCCUCUUUGGGAUUGCAACCGUGACAGGGCGAAGUUGAAAUUAUAGCUCGUUGUAACUUGCUUCUGUAGUUUAAUUUAAUUUAACUAAUGCACCAUCGUAUUUCUUGUGCGAGAUUGCAUGUUAUGUUUCUUGCUAUGUUUUCAAUAUCCUUACCCAGGGACUUGAUUGAAUCUACUUCUGCUGUUCUAAGUUGCACUUGACAUUGUUAGAGUAUAACACGACUAGGAUAGAGUUACUUGGGAUUAGGAUCCUUGUGUGCUGGCUUGCCCCAAGUCAUGUAAACUCUCUAUAUACUGUCUGAGAGGCUCAAUUUAAAUAAUCCAAAUCCACCCAUAAACAUAGUUCUUAGUUGCACCUGAAUCUACUUUUUAUUUAGUCCAAUUUCAGUCUCUUCAUUGUCUCAAGCGAGUUAACAAAUAAAUGGAUGAACUAGAAAAUUCUAGCAGUUAAACAGUAUACAAUGAUUAAAAAUAUUAAACUGAGAUUCAUGAUUCUGUCAUGGGCACAUGUGUGAGUGUCCAACUUGCCUGCAGGUGACCAGGUUUCCAAUCCGGUAAAAAAAAUUGGGCACACCAAAUAACACUUGGAGAACCCUAAGCCACUUGGAGAAGUCUCUUACAUUUUCCUUUGCUCCAAGGCUCCAUGCUUUUAUUCAAUUUUUUUUCUCACCUAAUGUGCUAUUGUCUGCGUACACAUAAUUUUGAUGGAAAGUAUGUAUGUAUGUGUAUCCAAUAACUGUAUGAAACUAAGACUGAGUUUUUGCAGAGCUAGACAGGCUAUUAGAGAAUGCACCCUCAAUGAUAAUAAUGCAACAUUCAGCAAGGAUUUCCAGUAUCCGCAAGAGGAUUUCAGCAAUGAACAUGCUACUCAAGUCCAUACAGCGACGCAUAGAUAACAUUGAUAGAAUUAUUUCUACUGGUAUGUCAAGUGGUUCUGUCUAUCAUUACUCUCUGUCUGUGGGUCAGCAGAGUGAAUCAUUAUGGACACAUUGCUUUGUGUUUGCAGAUCAUUCAUCUCCUGUACAGAAAGCCGGUAAUGAACUUGGAUCAAGGUGCCCUCCUUUUUUUUCCUACCACUUUUCAUCGUUUAUCUUUGGGUGGUCAUGAUAAAUGUGAACAAGCAACGUUAAGAGUUAUGGCUUUCAAUAUCUCGAAGCUAGUGCUGAAGAUGAAGUCUUAGUAAAUUUCUGAACAAUAGAUGCAAUUCUGUAUAACUGGAGAGGUGGGCUUUUCUUGCUUUUCAGUGUCGUGGUAUGAAAUAUUUAUACAAUAAACAACACAAUAAGUAAAUCUCUGGUUCCCCCAGCCCAAUUUGCUACUUUAUUUAUCUAGUCCUUAUUAGUUGCAUCCUUACACAGUUCCUCUUAAUUACAGGUUUUAGAAUAAUUCUGGUGGUGUCCCAUCAAUUGCAACCAUUUCUGUUUUGGUAGAGUUACCAUCAAGCAAUCACACGGGGCUGUCCAUAGAAGUGAGACGUCAUAAUUUCAAUUUUUCCCAGAGAUGUAUGAUCAAAAUAUUCCAAUCCUUUUUGUCACAUUUUGGAGUGGGAAAAGCCUUUUGUACUGGAUGGUCAAUUUCUUUUCCUGCGUUCUUUUUGUUGCAGACAAUGAAGCGUGUUUUCAGCUUCGGCGUUCACCCUUGUAUUCAAAUAUGAAAUUAUAUUCAGAAAUCAUAUUAUCAUAUUGACACUGUUGAGUGGUUUUGAUAUAUAGUACUUGUUUAAGAUGGCAACAUCUGGAAUUCACAUUGUUAUACUUUAUCAGAAAUGUUGGUAGAUGCUAGUGUGCCAUGGAUAUAAUUCGUUUGAAGGCCUUCUGGCCAGGUUUGUCACCAAAUUCCAAACCAAAUGUCAACGUUCAUAUGCAGGUAUCGGUCUACUCGAUGGAUUCGAUCAACACACUUGCAUAAACAACUUGGCAACUUUCAUUGCUCGUGCAGGAGACUCAGUCAUGUUCUGCCGACCGCUGGCAAUGCAAAUUGCCAGGUAUGUGCAGUAAGGCUGGCGUGCAGCAAAGCAAUAGAAACAAACAUAUUUCAGAAGAAAAAGCUGGCAUGCAGCAAAGCAAUAGAAACAACAACAUAUUUCAGAAGAAAAAACAUAGGUGUUAUUCCGACUGUUUCAAUGUGCCGAAAACAGGCAGGAAUUUGCUGCGUACAACUAUGACCUUUUUUUUUCGAGAACAUGCGUACAACUAUGACCUGGAACAACAAUGACCAAUUGUCGUGGGUGGUCUUCAUUGAAGAAAUGUUUCAUUUUCAGAAUCAGAAUAAAUAAAGGUACAGUGACAGCCAUGAAUCUACAAGUUACCCCAGGACACCAAGACUACAACAAAAUAAACUAAGCAAUGAACAUGGUAUGAACCUCAAAUGGAGGUUCUCCUUCAAACCUGUACAUGUGUUGACUAUCUAGGAUCUUUUCUCCGCUAAUCUUACAACAUCACUGACAAUAACCUUACUGCUGAAAUGAACACCACAGUUUGCAAUAGUAUUGUCAUAGGCGCAUGUAACCUUCUUUGUGACCUUUGAAGAGUUUCAGAUGCCUCUUGUUCUGAGAAUUGCUCCGGGUCAGUUCACGGCGUGUUCUCCAUGACGUCACAUGAGAAUAUAAUGAAGGAAAUAAGAAACAUAGCAACAGAAGUAAUAAGAUCACAACACAUAUUAGCAUGACAUUCAUGAAGCCAUCCCGGUUUUUAGGGUUCUUGUUCUGCUCGGUCCAUGGCACGCCACCAACAUUCAUCCCGAAAACUGACAAAUUUUGCAACAUAAAUCAGGUAAAUAAGAACCCUGAAAAAGAACAGAAAUUAAUUCAGGAAAGUACACGAGUGAGCACCAGGACAAUGAACUUACCUCCAGUGACAAUGGAAAGAGGAAGGAAUAUUAUGGAGAGAAAUGAAAGGUAGUACAAGCUUUUGUUUAUCUGCUCUGAUUGCCAACUAUCGAGACUAGCCUGAAGUGUGGUAACUCUAUUUGUAAUGAAUCCUAGGUUUUCUUUGAGCCUUCUGAGGCGACCUAUCAGAUCUUCAAGGGCUGCUAUAUCUCCAGUUGCGAACCAACUCUUGCUCGCACAUUUUUCUUUCACGCGGGGGAAUACUUGUUCACCGUGAGAAACAACCUACACAAACAAAAAUAGUAGCAUUGAGUCUGUGACUUCUGUUCUAUAGAUUAGGCCUUGUUUAGUUUCCUAAAAAUUUUGCAAAAUUUUUCAGAUUUCCCGUCACAUCGAAUAUUUAGACGUAUGCAUGAAGUAUUAAAUAAAAAUAAAAAUAAAAAGUAAUUACACAGUUUGGUCGGAAUUGACGAGACGAAUCUUUUGAGCCUAGUUAGUCUAUAAUUGGACAAUAUUUGUCAAAUAUAAACGAAAAUGCUACUAUUCAUAUUUUGCAAAAAUUUUUGGAAGUAAACAAGGCCUUAACUGAAUUCAUGUAACUGCACUUUUAGAACCUGAAAGCCAAAUUAUAAGCAACACAGCAUGACAACCUCAAUGUCAUAUCAGCACUCACUUCAUGCAUGUUUGCGAUUUUGACUAAAGCAGUGCAAAUUAUAAAACAUUCCAGGUUCCCAAUAUAUUUCCCAGAAACUCGAGAGAAAACUCAUACCUGAAGCAACCGCUGUAGAUCGAGAUGCAUUUUUGGGAAUCUCCUGCCAUCCAGCAAAAGUUUCCUCAGAAAGUGACCACCUGCAACAAGCACAAUCCACACAGUUCAUAAAAUAAAAAGGCUAGUCAUUGGAGAGAAAAAGGUGAAAGUUCGAAACCUUGUUUGUUGAAUCCUGGAAUGCAAUAAGCAUGGAGAGUACAUUUGCCAUAUGGUACCCCUCUAUAUUUGCACAAUGCUAAUAAACCUUUGCUGAAGCAUACAUCAUUUAACUUGGCAUAGGUCGCAUAGCAUUGUUGCAAAAUUUAUAUGGUUUGGAAGAAUGAUCAGGGUCUACUUUGGAAACUCUACUGCCAUUAUAUAGGAUCCUGAUUCAUGAAAUUACAUGAAUACAUGUAACAGAGUCAUCCUCGAAGUUACAUUCAGGACCUGCAUUCAAUUCAACCAUUCCAAAAUGUCUGGAAUUUGUCGUUCUGAUGGAAUGCAUACCAACCCCACCCUUUCAAACCUUGCAACCUUUUGUUUAUUUUAUUUAAAGAAAACCUCGUAUGCAAUCAUGAGUCAAAUCUAAUUCUAUCACAUUGAUCUGAGUUCAUGCAGCAAGAGGUCAGCAUUUUCAGCGUCACCAACCAACCAAAGAAGCGUAGGUUAGCAGCAAUCGAAUAUCUUUUAUCCAGAUGAGGAAUGAAAGGGAGCUUUACGCGAUGAUUGACCAGCAAGAAAGCAACCUCCGACCACGACCUCCGACCGCUCACCUUUGUCGAGCUGCAGCUCGAUGGCGUCGAGGUCCAUCUCGAGGCGCGUGACAAUGUCGUGGACGUGGUCUACGUGCGUGCCGAGGACGUGCACGAGGAGGUUGGACACCGUCCGCGGCACCGGGUUGUCGGUGUGCGCGCCGUCGGCGUGGUUCAUGGCCAGCAGCGACUCGAGCAGGCGCUCCUCGAUGACGACGCCGCCGUCGACGGCGCAUCCCCCGCCGUGUCCCUCGUCGGCGACGACGCCGAGCGGCACCUCGGAGAGCAGCGACGCCUGCUUGGUCCCGAACGCGAGGCGCGGGACCCCGCCGACGGACACGGUGACGACGGAGCUCUCGGUGACGCGCACGGCGAGGCGGAGCGCGCACGCGCUGCCGACGGGGCCCGGCGAGCUGACCCGGAGCAGGAGCGCGCCUCCGCUGUCCCCGGAGGAGGAGCAGCAGUGCGGGCCCGUGGCGACGAACGCGAGGAUCUCCUGCAGCGUGAGCGGCGGGCAGAGGAGCUCGAUGAGCGCCUGCGCGUGGUGGAGCGGCUUGGCCGCGGAGCGCGGGAGCUCCACGUGGUGCCACGUGAACUCCCCGGGCCUGGGACGCCGCGCCGACCCGCCGGACGCCGACGGCGCCAGGCCCAGGCCCCAGGGCGCCUCGGAGAAGCCGCCAUCGCCGUCGAACACGAACGCGUGGCGCGGCACCGCGCCCGACGGGAGCGGCUUCCCGACCGCGGGGGACGGGGACGGGGGCGGCGGGCCCCGCCUCGGACGCAGGUGGUUGGAGCCAGAGCCAGAGCCGAAGCCGGCUGCCUCCGCGCGCGGGGCGGGCUCGCCGGCGCCGGCACCGGCCGCCAUUGGCAUUAGAAUUUGCGCCCACGCCGCGCCACGUGAAGGCGUAUUAUACCACGGCAUCGCACAAGCUCCAGGGACCUCGCGGUGAAAUCGCGAAAUAUCUCUGGACCUUUCUGCAAAAACGAUCUCGGCAAGCGUUUUGCUAAGCGCUAAGCUUAACCCGGGAAGGUUAGUUUCAAAAAAACUAUAAUACUCCGUGUUAGUGCAUAGUAGUAGUAAUAAUAAUACCAUUUUUAUAUUAGUGCCAAAUACUGCUACAUGGAUAUGUUUUGCAGUAGGAUUAAUUGUAAAGAUAUAUGUUUAGUUAGGGUUGGUGUCGGUGAUUAAUAAUAAACAUUUUCUAGGAGGUGAAGGUGAUUUGAUUGAUCUGGGGGAAGAGGAUGAGGAGGGUGGGUGAUCUUUGCAUGGGUUUGACUAAAUUUGGGAAUCUCUCUGGUUGUGUGCUUGGAGGCUGGAGGUGCAUCACAUGUGCACUGCAGCUGCAAUUGUUAUUAAUUAAUUCAUUAGUAUUAGCCAAACUAGAGUUUUUUUUUUGUUUCAAUGAAAGAUGGUUAUUAUUACUCCAUUUUGGCCUUGUUCAGAUGCAUGUGAGCCCAGUCAGCUUUUCAUGAGAUAAAAAAUGAAAGAAAAUCAGAGAAAACUCUUAGCAAAGGUUUGGAACGUGCCUAUUCAUUUGGCUGAAAGUACUAUUUGCUGAUUUAUUGUGAGAAAAAAUAUUGCUGAACGACUGACAGAUUCGGCAAAUAAGCUCAAGCGAACAGGCUUAGUCCAUUGGUUUGAAUGCAUACGAGUUUUAUUUAUAGAGGCUCUAAGGGUUUGGUUUGCAUGAAAUACUAGCCAGGUCACUCUUCUUUGAGAGAAAAAAAAUACAAAACUAAUCCAACCUUUGUUUUUCCAUGGAAUAUAGUUAACUAACGGUACUACUAGUAGUGUCUUAGUAUUUGUUUUCAAGGAAAAAAAAUGAAUUACUGGGGUCCAGCCAAUGCAGUCGUCGCUUGUGAUCGAGGCUCAGCCCAUUCCUAAAACGGGCCGUGGUCUCGUAGACGAGAAUAGAGCUACCACAGCCCAGCCCAGCCCACCGUGGAAAUGGGCUCCCCUCAUCCUCGCUUUGCGUCACGCGACGUGAACCCCCCGGCGGGCGCCGGCGGCUCCUCGCCGACGUCGUCAUCAGUAACGGAAAAGAGCCCACCCGCCACUCGAACGGGCCGGCGAGGCGGCGGCGCCGGCACGUGACGAGUGACAAGGACAAGCUGAUGAAUCCAUCCCGACCGACCAUGCGCGCAUGGUCCUACAUCCUCCGAGCCGCCCGGGGGUGGUGGUGCGGGCAGCCGCGCGCACCACGAAGCACGAUCUGCGGUCCUCAGGCGCGGGCGCGCGGCGGCGUUAAUGGUCGAGCUUCAUGGCGGGGCCGAGGCCGCGCCGCCGCGGGCCAGCACGGUCCCAUUCCCAUGCGUAUGGCGUUCCAAGCUCCAUGGGGACGACGGCGCGCGCGCCAUGGCGAGGAACAUCCAUGCACUGCACGGCCUUCGAUCGGUGUAGUCCCGUCUCGGUCUCGGCCGCGCCGCCACCGCAGCGCCUCCUUGAUUCCGUGCAGUGCAUAGCAAAGCUCAUUCAGGUGCCGGCUUGGUAGGUGACGCUGACGCAGAAGCAGAAGCAGAAGCAGUCAGUCAGGCCAUCGUCGCCCAGUCCGCGGAGGUGAAUUCAGGUGAGCUUGCCUUUGCCUGCGCCCCCCCCUUAAUUGUUCUCAACCUAUCUAGUACUCGCUAACAAUGGGCGAAAUGGAUUUCGCAUGAACUGAAAACUGUGCUGGGAAUUCGGUCAUGACAUCUUCCUGUUAUCUGAACUUUCAAUCUGGUUACUGCUUACAUCCCCAUCCCUACAAAAUGGAUUUCGCAUGAACUGAAAACUGUGCUGCACAAAGGCACAAACAGCGAAAGAGGCCUGCUUUUUUCUUUUUGUUCGUUUGCCUUCUGGAUAAUCACAUCCAAAUCAGCACUUCAAUCAGUUCAGCACUGUGAAAAAAGUAAAACUGAAAACGACCGACGCAGUUUCUGCAAAGAAAAAACUCUCUAGAGAGUUUCGGCUGCAGAAUCUUCAGCUGGUCAAAUCUUAUCAUGAGGAACGCUCGAAUUAGGAGUGCCACUUUUCUGUGCCCAGUAAAAAGAAGCAGGCAGGCAUACACCCUGUGGCUGGCUAUCACUAUCCUUUCUCCACAAACACAAAGUAGCUGUCUCCAUUUUUCAACCGGAGAAUCCGAAUUUGCAAAGCGCUAGAGUGCAGAGUCGACUCAGCGUGUCUAACAUUGGUAGGGCAAGAAUAAAAAUUCCAGGACACGAUGCUUGCUUCGCUCCUUUCCAUUCCUUUUCGGCUCUCAAAGUACACAGCAGGCUAGCGCACGCACACGGCUGGCUAGCGUAUUUACAUUUUUCAGAUCUUUUGCUGCUCAACAGUUACUUGUUUACUUAUAUAUAUAUGACAUCAAGCUUCAAAACACACUUGAUUUUACAUUAGCUGCUGUUGUUGUUGUUGUUGACGAUGAUAGUAGUUAUACAUGUCCACGAAGGGUUUAGUCUAUAGGCAACCCCUGGGACGAUUUCCGGAAGGAGUUCUUGGUCAUCUUUUCCAUGAGGUGACACCAACGGCGACAUUGCUCACCUGGAACAGAUCAGAAGAAACAAAACAGUCAAGUCUGAUUGAUUGUUCAUAGUUCACUUGGUGACUUUGACAACGAGGGAAAACCAACGAACUAUGGUCAUAGUGUUUGAGAUAAGCUCACCAGUUUGCCCUUUUCAUCCAGUGUCUUAGGAUUCUCCACCAGAACCGUCUGGGGCCGAGCAUCCUGCAAGGAGCAUGAAAGUUGAGCGAAUAAAGCCUGUUUCAUUAUCGACGAACAUUUGACAUCAGUCUGAAUUUAGACGGUUUGCUUCAACCCGAUGGACCAGUGCUUUCAUCGCAGCACUAGAUGGUCCAAGGAUUUCAAGCGAAAAAUCUCUCGGUGGGACGCGUGCGGAAUGUGCUAAUCAUUGGUACUUGCCUACUUGAGGAACUGAUUCCCAUGCAAACCAUGGAGCAACCUGAACCUACCAAAGUUGUGAUUUUUAUGAAGGACAACCCCACAAUUGAUGCAACAAAAGGGUGGUUGUGCUGUGGUCAUCAACUGCUUAAUGGUCCCAUCCCAUAGGGCCAUAGAAUUACUUUGGACACCAAUAGUACUACCUCCUAAUAACUUUUGGUGUUCUAUAUAUGUGUGGAACUGUACUGACUGUGGAGACUAGGCAAAAAAAAAAGAAAGACUAACCGAUGGCGCUGGCCGUGCAGAGCCACCGGUGUGGUUGUUCUGUAGGAAGUAGUUUGUAAACGGAAUAUGAGUUGCGAUUGAUGACAUAUGCAACGACGAAGAGAAGACAAAUUCAGUUGUGCAGUACACAUACCCUGACUGGAUUAAUGUUGCGGCAUGUUGGGCACCCGACUGUCGUCGCUCCCGGUGGGUAUGCCAGAGUUGUCCGGCAUUGCCCGCAUGACAGGUGACCCAUUUGGUUUCCUGCUUCAGUUUAGGAUCAGGAAACUUGUGUCAGCUGGAGGAAGAAACUUGCAUGAGAAUGCAGUUGUAGCCUGUUUGUUGCAGGCAGACUAAAGGGAAUUGGACAUGAGGUUUCACCUGAUCUUGUGGAGUUGAGCCUACUACAGUGAGGGCAGCGUAUGUUGGUGGCGCUGCGGGAGUGCACCAGCAUGGUGAAGCAGCCGCCACAGACGAGUUCAGACAUCUCCGGUCCUAGAGGAAACAAAAGCAGAGUUUUUCGCUGAGAAAACUGGACUGAACAGGCAAUUGUAUCUUUGCUUCUUUAGACUGUAGCAUCAUCACGAUCGGACAAGGGAAAAAAGGCUUUGUGCUUUAUGCUGAUAUGUGUAUAGUAUACCUGAUGGGUUGGCGGCUGUGAAAGUGUUGCAGGUUGGGCAGCAGACGCCGGUGGCUCCCCUGCGGUACUGGAGAAGACGCUUGCAGCCGCCGCAGACCAACUGGCUAUGCAUGCCUGCAGUUGGAAAUUAUAUUGGUGCGGUUAGAAUUCCAAAUCCCAGUUCAGGUGCAAGAAGAUGCAACACUUUGAUCUGACAAUGGUAAAACAGGCUACCCUUUCUCUCUGAACUUCAAGAAAAAAAAGAAAAGAAAAGGAGGAUGAACUACACAGCAUGUAUAUUUUCUACUGCAUUUGCGACCGUGUUUUGCUAUAUGUAUUUGAAGAAAAGGAAAGGAUGGUGGCAUGAACGUGGACUGGUCACAUUUUGCGGCGGGCAAAAUUCGACAUGCACACAAGGCAGGUGCGCUAGCUGUGUGCUGUGCAUGGAUGGAUCAACCUUGCCUGAGAUCUAUAUAUGAACUUGUUCUGUAUGCAGGUUGUUGAAGGUGAGGAGGAAUUGUAAAGCACGGUACGCACGCAAUGCAUAACCUGUUUGCUAGCUAUAGGCAGGUGAGAAACUCAGAGCUGCUGCUUGCUAAACCCAAGCAUGCAAGGUAGGUAUACAUAUCAUAGACCAAGAAUGGAAGAUGUAUUACCAAGGCAAGAACACCGGCCGAGCUAGAAUGGACGGCGCCUUUGAACUGCAGCUAAUUAAUGAAGCUAGCUCUGAAGGUGUGCAGCA
This 39359-nucleotide long non-coding RNA is filed under the name Sorghum bicolor (sorghum). RNAcentral describes it as "long non-coding RNA (SBIC_LNC011580)". The record is from RNAcentral. Lineage: Eukaryota; Viridiplantae; Streptophyta; Magnoliopsida; Poales; Poaceae.